AACUGAUACUACCUGCGGGAACCUGCGGAGGGAUCAUUACAAGUGACCCCGGUCUAACCACCGGGAUGUUCAUAACCCUUUGUUGUCCGACUCUGUUGCCUCCGGGGCGACCCUGCCUUCGGGCGGGGGCUCCGGGUGGACACUUCAAACUCUUGCGUAACUUUGCAGUCUGAGUAAACUUAAUUAAUAAAUUAAAACUUUCAACAAUGGAUCUCU
This 216-nucleotide unclassified non-coding RNA is filed under the name soil metagenome. RNAcentral describes it as "partial contains 5.8S ribosomal RNA, internal transcribed spacer 2, and large subunit ribosomal RNA". The record is from RNAcentral.